CCGAGCUUGACGGAAGCCACGCGGGAAUCCAGGACCGUGGGUGAACCACGGAGAGACUUUGGGCUGAUCUGGUGCUGCUGGUCUGACCAGGAGUGUGGGCACGGACCAGGGACAUUUGACUGUCUCUGCAGCACGGGCUCAGGCCAAGACCAACAUGUCAGUGUCUGUUUGAAAGCGGGACAAGGGCUGAAUUCUGUAACAGCACUACGAAGCAGCAGAAAAAGUUAACUGGAGAGACAGGGUAAAUACUACUUAUUGUUGUGGGGAAAUCGACUGCCCGAAACCCAAAGGUCUGAAGAUUUUUUUAAGCUACGUCAGCGCAAUGAAGUUAAUGUAAUAAAACAGCUAGAAUAGUUUGGUGUAAAAACUCA
RNAcentral lists this long non-coding RNA (371 nucleotides) under Scleropages formosus (Asian bonytongue). RNAcentral's name for it is "lncRNA (ENSSFOG00015027480.1)". Lineage: Eukaryota; Metazoa; Chordata; Actinopteri; Osteoglossiformes; Osteoglossidae. The record is from RNAcentral.